Molecule: ribosomal RNA, 262 nt
Filed under: uncultured Pseudomonas sp.
Lineage: Bacteria; Pseudomonadati; Pseudomonadota; Gammaproteobacteria; Pseudomonadales; Pseudomonadaceae
Description: partial 16S ribosomal RNA
Rfam family: Bacterial small subunit ribosomal RNA
Source: RNAcentral
AGCACGUUAUGGUGGGCACUCUAAGGAGACUGCCGGUGACAAACCGGAGGAAGGUGGGGAUGACGUCAAGUCAUCAUGGCCCUUACGGCCUGGCUACACACGUGCUACAAUGGUCGGUACAAAGGGUUGCCAAGCCGCGAGGUGGAGCUAAUCCCAUAAAACCGAUCGUAGUCCGGAUCGCAGUCUGCAACUCGACUCCAUGAAGUUGGAAUCGCUAGUAAUCGUGGAUCAGCAUGCCACGGUGAAUACGUUCCCGGGCCUU